Molecule: non-coding RNA, 97 nt
Filed under: Desulfatitalea sp.
Lineage: Bacteria; Pseudomonadati; Thermodesulfobacteriota; Desulfobacteria; Desulfobacterales; Desulfosarcinaceae
Description: SAM-I sequence
Rfam family: SAM riboswitch aptamer (S box leader)
About the family: The SAM riboswitch is found upstream of a number of genes which code for proteins involved in methionine or cysteine biosynthesis in Gram-positive bacteria. The SAM riboswitch acts at the level of transcription termination control. The predicted structure consists of a complex stem-loop region followed by a single stem loop terminator region.
Source: RNAcentral
AUAUCAUGGUGAGUGGCGCGAAGGAACUGGCCUUACGACCGCCCGGCAACCUGUCCAUCAAGGUGCUAAAUCCAGCCCGCAAGGGGAAACAUGAGGU